CCGAGCAAAUCCGAAAUAAACAAUAUCACGGAAAGAGAGGCGGAGAUCUUCAUCUUCUCAUUGCCAGUCAUGGGAAAAAAUAUGGGAAGCUGAGAGUUGCACAGUGCCCACUGCUCACAUCCCCUCUCGGCCUCUGCCUGUCCUCCUCCAUAAAAGCUUCAAUCUUUGGAAUCCUUGUGAGGUGCAAAAUGUCCAGGAAACAGGCCUUCUCUUUCCCUUCGUAAUCUUUUCUUUCCCGGAGAACAGAACGGGGUAGUGAGGCUGUGAGGGGAUGGAGCGGCAGAAUGAUGGCAGUGACGGUGGAGGCAAGAUCAAGGUUGGUGUCUGCGUCAUGGAGAAGAAGGUGUGGUGUUCUCCCAUGGAGCAGAUUCUUGAGAGGCUGCGGGCGUUCGGGGAGUUUGAGAUUAUAAUUUUUGGUGACAAAGUCAUUCUUGAAGAUCCUAUUGAAAGCUGGCCUUUAUGUGACUGUCUAAUUGCCUUUUACUCAGCUGGGUAUCCACUAGAAAAGGCAGAGAAAUAUGCUGCUUUACGCAGGCCAUUUUUGGUCAAUGAGUUGGACCCCCAAUACCUUCUUCAUGAUCGCAGCAAAGUAUAUGAGCACCUUAAAUUGUUUGGAGUUCCUGUUCCAACUUAUGCUGUUGUCAGAAGAGAAUACCCUAACCAAGAGUUGAACUACUUUGUUGAGCAAGAUGAUUUUAUUGAAAUCCAUGGAAAGCGGUUUUGCAAGCCUUUCGUGGAAAAACCAAUUGAUGGAGAUGACCAUAAUAUAAUGAUAUACUAUCCUAGCUCUGCUGGUGGAGGAAUGAAAGAACUGUUCCGCAAGGUUGGCAAUCGAUCCAGUGAAUUUUAUCCGGAUGUUAGGAAGGUGAGGCGAGAUGGAUCUUACAUUUAUGAAGAGUUCAUGCCAACAGGAGGAACAGAUGUCAAGGUUUAUACAGUUGGUCCAGGAUAUGCACAUGCUGAAGCACGCAAAUCUCCAGUUGUAGAUGGGGUUGUCAUGAGGAAUUCUAAUGGCAAAGAGGUGCGCUAUCCUGUUUUACUAACCCCUACUGAGAAACAAAUCGCAAGGAAUAUUUGCCAAGCCUUCAGACAAGCGGUGUGUGGUUUUGAUCUUCUAAGGUGUGACUUGGGGGAGGCAAGGUCUUAUGUAUGCGAUGUCAAUGGCUGGAGUUUUGUGAAAAGUUCAUACAAGUACUAUGAUGAUGCUGCAUGCAUUCUGAGGAAAAUGUUUCUUGAUGACAAAGCUCCACAUAUUUCAUCCACCAUUCCUGUGAAUCUUCCCUGGAAAGUCAGUGAGCCAGUCCAACAAUUUGAUACUGUAAAAGGUCAAGAAAAGGGAACUGCUGGCAUUUCUAGGCAAUCAGAAGAGCUGCGCUGUGUCAUAGCUGUCAUACGCCAUGGGGAUCGCACGCCAAAGCAAAAGGUGAAGCUGAAGGUAACUGAAGAAAAACUUUUGAAAUUAAUGUUGAAAUACAAUGGAGGAAAGGCCCGAGCGGAGGCAAAACUUAAAAGUGCCUUACAGCUGCAAGAUCUAUUAGAUGCAACUAGAAUCCUUGUUCCACGUGCUAGGUCUGGACGUGAAAGUGAUAGUGAUGCUGAAAUUGAGCAUGCAGAGAAGCUACGCCAAGUUAGAGCAGUUCUAGAAGAGGGUGGACAUUUUUCAGGUAUUUAUAGGAAAGUGCAGUUAAAACCAUCCAAUUGGGUCCAUAUUCCUAAAAGGAAUGGGGACGGUGAGGAGGAGUAUCCAAUUGAAGCUCUGAUGGUUCUCAAGUACGGUGGAGUAUUAACUCAUGCAGGAAGAAAGCAGGCAGAAGAGUUGGGAAGAUACUUCAGAAACAAUAUGUAUCCAAGUGAAGGGCCAGGAUUGCUUCGUCUCCACAGUACGUAUAGGCAUGAUCUGAAAAUAUACAGUUCAGAUGAAGGUCGUGUCCAGAUGUCUGCAGCAGCUUUUGCAAAAGGUCUUCUUGAUUUGGAGGGGGAAUUAACGCCAAUUCUGGUUUCACUUGUCAGUAAGGACUCUUCUAUGCUAGAUGGACUUCAGGAUGGCACUAUUGAGAUAAAUGAAGCAAAGGCCUGUUUGCAUGAUAUUAUCCUCUCUUCAAAAGUUGCAAAUGGCGAGCCUGUGGAGUUUCCAUGGAUGGUUGAUGGAGCUGGAGUGCCUCCAAAUGCUGCUAAGCUUCUCACAAAUUUGGCUCAGUUGACAAAAGAAAUAACUGCACAAGUGAAGCUGCUUUCUGAUGAUGAAGAUGGAGAGGCUGCAACAAAUAGUGACUCACCAAGUCAUCCUUAUGAUCAAGCAAAGGCACUAGGGAAAACAGCAAUUGAUAUGGACCGCAUUGCUGCUGGAUUGCCUUGUGGCAGUGAGAGCUUCCUUUUGAUGUUUGCCCGUUGGAAGAAACUAGAGAGGGAUCUCUACAACGAAAGAAAAAAGCGAUUUGAUACUACGCAAAUACCUGAUAUAUAUGAUUCUUGCAAGUAUGAUCUCCUUCAUAACUCGCAUCUCAAACUUAAUGGUUUGAGUGACCUCUUCAGAGUUUCUCAGUCGCUAGCUGAUGGUGUAAUUCCGAAUGAGUAUGGAAUAAAUGCGAAGCAGAAACUCAAAAUUGGUUCAAAGAUUGCACGCCGUUUGUUGGGAAAGAUUCUGAUUGACCUGCAUAACACCAGACGAGAGGUUACUGCUGCUGCUGGUGAAUAUAAUGCAUGCCAUGAUCCAACAAUAGUAUCUUCUUCAAAACGGAAGGACAGGGGUAACAAUGGGGAUGUUAAGAAUGAGGGAUUUUAUAGACCUAGCUCAAACAAGAAGUCGAUUGAUCUUGAUGAUUCGCACAAAGAAACCAAAUACUGCUUGGAUCCAAAAUAUGCCAAUGUGAUGGAACCUGAACGACGGGUUCGAACAAGGCUCUAUUUUACAUCAGAAUCACAUAUACAUUCCCUAAUGAAUGUGCUUCGAUACUGCAACUUUGACGAAUCUAUGAAUGGAGAAGAGAGUCUUGUUUGCAAAAAUGCUCUAGAUCAUCUGUUUAAAACAAGGGAACUUGACUACAUGAGCUACAUUGUAUUGCGUAUGUUCGAGAAUACAGAGGUUUCUUUGGAAGAUCCAAAAAGGUUUCGUAUAGAGAUGACAUACAGUCGUGGUGCAGAUAUAAGUACCUUACAGAGCGAGCAUGGCAAAGAUUCUUUGCUACCUGAUGACCAUACAAUGAAAAUUAUGGAACCGGAAAGAUUGCAGGAAGUUGGAUCAUAUCUGACUUUGGACAAAUUCGAUAAAAUGGUCCGUCCAUUUGCAAUGCCGGCUGAAGAUUUCCCCCCAGCUACCCCUUCGCAAUCUUUGGCUGUCCGUUUCUGCAAGGAUAAUGGAUUACAAGGAGCAAGAUUGCAACAUAAGUCAGACAUGGUGAGUGAUAUGCCAAAAAGGAAGACAAAAAAGCUUCAAGAAUAGCAUGUUUAGCGUGCAGGUCAGCUGCAUUUUGUUUGAUAUUCCUGUUAACUAAAGUCUCAGGGCGUCAAGCACUGAAGAUAUCAUGCAGCAGCAACAAUUUUGUCAGUUCUGAGAAUGAAACCUGAUAGAGCUUGUUUUGCAGACAGUUAUGUAGAUAAUAGGGUACAUAUGUGUGUUUGGAUAAUUUUUUCAGGAUAUACACCUUGGCAUAUUGAUGUGCCUUCAAAAUUAUAUUCAGGAAACAUUUGCAACCUUAGGCGUUGGCAUGAGACCGUUAUUUUUUCACUCAAUCAUUUUUCCGGUUUUGCCA
Oryza brachyantha (malo sina) is the source of this 3749-nucleotide RNA transcript. It is a transcript of the gene named inositol hexakisphosphate and diphosphoinositol-pentakisphosphate kinase VIP1-like, with no coding region annotated. Lineage: Eukaryota; Viridiplantae; Streptophyta; Magnoliopsida; Poales; Poaceae. The transcript is spliced from 32 exons. The record is from RefSeq and is a predicted model, not a curated record.